GCAAGUCGAGCGGUAACAGAGAGUAGCUUGCUACUUUGCUGACGAGCGGCGGACGGGUGAGUAAUGCUUGGGAAUCUACCGAGUAGUGGGGGAUAGCCAUUGGAAACGAUGAUUAAUACCGCAUAUAUCCUACGGGGGAAAGCAGGGGACCUUCGGGCCUUGCGCUAUUCGAUGAGCCUGAGUGAGAUUAGCUAGUUGGUGGGGUAAAGGCCUACCAAGGCGACGAUCUCUAGCUGGUCUGAGAGGAUGAUC
Molecule: ribosomal RNA, 252 nt
Filed under: uncultured bacterium
Lineage: Bacteria
Description: partial 16S ribosomal RNA
Rfam family: Bacterial small subunit ribosomal RNA
Source: RNAcentral